Molecule: transfer RNA, 69 nt
Filed under: Urocitellus parryii (Arctic ground squirrel)
Lineage: Eukaryota; Metazoa; Chordata; Mammalia; Rodentia; Sciuridae
Also listed under: 1 other name
Description: Spermophilus parryii (Arctic ground squirrel) tRNA
Rfam family: tRNA
About the family: Transfer RNA (tRNA) molecules are approximately 80 nucleotides in length.
Source: Rfam by way of RNAcentral
GGUGUAGCUCAGUGGUAGAGCACUUGCCUGGCUUGUGUGAGGCCCUGGGUUCAAUUCCCAUAACCACCA